This 376-nucleotide ribosomal RNA is filed under the name uncultured organism. RNAcentral describes it as "partial 16S ribosomal RNA". It matches the Rfam family "Bacterial small subunit ribosomal RNA", at positions 527 to 896 of the family's 1533-position model. The record is from RNAcentral.
GUAGGUGGCAAGCGUUGUCCGGAAUUAUUGGGCGUAAAGCGCGCGCAGGCGGUUCUUUAAGUCUGAUGUGAAAGCCCACGGCUCAACCGUGGAGGGUCAUUGGAAACUGGAGAACUUGAGUACAGAAGAGGAAAGCGGAAUUCCACGUGUAGCGGUGAAAUGCGUAGAGAUGUGGAGGAACACCAGUGGCGAAGGCGGCUUUCUGGUCUGUAACUGACGCUGAGGCGCGAAAGCGUGGGGAGCAAACAGGGAUUAGAUACCCUGGUAGUCCACGCCGUAAACGAUGAGUGCUAAGUGUUAGGGGGGUUUUCCGCCCCCUUAGUGCUGCAGCUAACGCAUUAAGCACUCCGCCUGGGGUAGUACGGCCGCAAGGCUG